RNAcentral lists this ribosomal RNA (462 nucleotides) under uncultured bacterium. RNAcentral describes it as "SSU rRNA". It matches the Rfam family "Bacterial small subunit ribosomal RNA", at positions 26 to 517 of the family's 1533-position model. The record is from RNAcentral.
AGGAUAAACGCUGGCGGCGUGCCUAACACAUGCAAGUCGAACGCGCUUUCGGGCUUCGGUGCGAGAGCGAGUGGCGGACGGGUGAGUAACACAUGGGUACCUGCCUUUCAGUGAGGGAUACCGGCGAGAAAUCGCCGACAAUACCGCAUGGGCUUGUGGGAACACAAGCAAAGUGGCGCAAGCCACGCUGGAAGAUGGGCCUGUGGCCGAUUAGCUAGUUGGGGGGUAAUGGCCUCCCAAGGCGACGAUCGGUAGCUGGUCUGAGAGGACGAUCAGCCACACUGGGAUUGAGAACGGCCAGACUCUACGGGGGCAGCAGUGAGGAAUUUUCCGCAAUGGACGAAAGUCUGACGGAGCAACGCCGCGUGCAGGAGGAAGGUUUUCGGAUCGUAAACUGCUUUCGUCGGGACGAGCAAGGACGGUACCGAGGAAGAAGCCCGGCUAACUACGUGCCAGCAGCCG